UUAAAAUUAAAGAAAUGGGGAGAAGAUGAAGAGACUACCCUAUGUACAAAAAUUUAAAAGUUUAAAGUUGAAAAGAUCUGACCAAAUGGGAGCAAUCCAGUAGACAAGUAUGUCAAUAGAAACCCAGAAUUCCCUUGGACUUUUUAGAAUCAAGCAACACACAAAUGCACAAUUAUAUCAAUCUUGAAGAUAAAAGGCAUGAAAAAAAGAUGGCCUCAUCCAAGCUUGUCCACUUCAAUGAUCUUCCUU
RNAcentral lists this long non-coding RNA (249 nucleotides) under Lathyrus oleraceus (garden pea). Its description in RNAcentral is "Pisum sativum (pea) long non-coding RNA (PSAT_LNC004336)". The record is from RNAcentral. Lineage: Eukaryota; Viridiplantae; Streptophyta; Magnoliopsida; Fabales; Fabaceae.